UCAAACUUGGUCAUUUAGAGGAAGUAAAAGUCGUAACAAGGUUUCCGUAGGUGAACCUGCGGAAGGAUCAUCAAUGUAGUUUUUUCACAUAGGUGAAGUGUGUGGUGUCUCUAGAUUGAUUACCAAUCAAAUCUGGUUGGUUAGUUUUUUUGGGGGGUCACACCUUUGCUUAUGAUUGGCCUAUCUAUCCUUUAUUAAACGUGAUGUUUGAUAAAAACAAAAAGUUGUGUUAAUAAUUCAGUUUUAUCCAAUAAAAUUUUGAAAACCAAAUACAACUAUCAACGAUGGAUCUCUUGGCUCUUGCAUCGAUGAAGAACGCAGC
RNAcentral lists this unclassified non-coding RNA (322 nucleotides) under uncultured fungus. Its description in RNAcentral is "partial contains small subunit ribosomal RNA, internal transcribed spacer 1, and 5.8S ribosomal RNA". The stretch from base 1 to 73 matches the Rfam family "Eukaryotic small subunit ribosomal RNA", at positions 1759 to 1831 of the family's 1831-position model. The record is from RNAcentral. Lineage: Eukaryota; Fungi.